AACCUUCUUGCCCCAAGCUCCCUCCCAUAAUUAGUUUUGCAGCUCCCAUUUCAGUUAGCAGCUGAUUUUCUUGGGAAGAGUCGGAACUGAAGAAAUCACCUUGGCCCAGUGAGCUACGAUCAGAAAAAGGCCUGAGAUUGGGGGAGAAAUUGCAGUCAACUCUCAGCCCAACUUUCCCACAAACUCGUUUGAGAGGAUCCGAGAAGAUGAAGCUAUAAGGUAAAAGUCAAGCGGGCAUGGCGGAUGUGCACUCGCCAAACGAUCCCAAGGGAGAAACGCUGUGUUCGAUCUGUUGGGAGCCUUGUCAAAACCCAGCUACUCAUCCUUGCGGACACAAUUUCUGUCACGCCUGUUCCAGUCGAUCCUGGGGAGAAGAACUAAAGGGGAAAGUCACCUGCUCCAGCUGCAGAGACAUGUUUCUGAAAAAUAAACCUAAAGAACCUCUUGAGAAAAUGGCAGAGGCCACCAGAUUGGUGACGGUAGAUGAAACUAAACAUUCAGCUGAGAGUGUGUGUGAGAUACAUAAGGAAGCCUUAAAUCUCUUCUGCGUGGAGGAUCAAAAACCCCUUUGUUCAGUCUGCAGAAAAUCCUGGGAUCAUGUGUCUCACACUCUGGUUCCCAGAAACCAGGCAGCAAAUACAGAAAAUCAGGGGAUUGAAAACCCAUUGAGUGGGUAAGUACCCCUUCUGAUGCACCACUAUGAUGGGG
Long non-coding RNA from Elgaria multicarinata webbii, 708 nucleotides. RefSeq lists it as uncharacterized. The record is from RefSeq and is a predicted model, not a curated record. The transcript has 3 exons. NCBI's taxonomy places the organism in Eukaryota, Metazoa, Chordata, Lepidosauria, Squamata, Anguidae.